CAGUAGCCGCGGUAAUACGUAGGUGGCAAGCGUUAUCCGGAAUUAUUGGGCGUAAAGCGCGCGUAGGCGGUUUUUUAAGUCUGAUGUGAAAGCCCACGGCUCAACCGUGGAGGGUCAUUGGAAACUGGAAAACUUGAGUGCAGAAGAGGAAAGUGGAAUUCCAUGUGUAGCGGUGAAAUGCGCAGAGAUAUGGAGGAACACCAGUGGCGAAGGCGACUUUCUGGUCUGUAACUGACGCUGAUGUGCGAAAGCGUGGGGAUCAAACAGGAUUAGAUACCCGCGUAGUCCCUGUCUCUUAUAU
This 301-nucleotide ribosomal RNA is filed under the name uncultured bacterium. RNAcentral describes it as "partial 16S ribosomal RNA". It matches the Rfam family "Bacterial small subunit ribosomal RNA", at positions 509 to 809 of the family's 1533-position model. The record is from RNAcentral.